CGUAGCUCAGCUGGAUAGAGCAACGGCCUUCUAAGCCGUGGGUAGGGGGUUCGAAUCCCUUCGG
Molecule: transfer RNA, 64 nt
Filed under: uncultured Acetatifactor sp.
Lineage: Bacteria; Bacillati; Bacillota; Clostridia; Lachnospirales; Lachnospiraceae
Rfam family: tRNA
About the family: Transfer RNA (tRNA) molecules are approximately 80 nucleotides in length. Their secondary structure includes four short double-helical elements and three loops (D, anti-codon, and T loops).
Source: RNAcentral